Molecule: ribosomal RNA, 61 nt
Filed under: Bacillus sp. DNRA2
Lineage: Bacteria; Bacillati; Bacillota; Bacilli; Caryophanales; Bacillaceae
Description: partial 23S ribosomal RNA
Source: RNAcentral
AGGUUAAGUUAGAAAGGGCGCACGGUGGAUGCCUUGGCACUAGGAGCCGAUGAAGGACGGU